Non-coding RNA from Biomphalaria pfeifferi, 237 nucleotides. The record is from the annotation of a GenBank genome assembly. Lineage: Eukaryota; Metazoa; Mollusca; Gastropoda; Planorbidae.
GAGCACUAUACAAAAUUGAACAUCAGAAACGCAUUGUCUGAUCAACACAAUCUCAUUGUGACAUCAAGUAAACAUUGUGACAUCAAACACCAAAUGUAUCAUCUCUACUUACAAUGCUUGCAUAAAACUAAAAUGUUAUUUAAACUUAGUUAGGCCAAUAAUAGAAUAUGCAUCCUCUGUUUGGGACCACUCAACUCAAGAAAACAUUAAGAAACUGGAACAGACAUAAAAUAGAAC